Molecule: signal recognition particle RNA, 299 nt
Filed under: Cebus imitator (Panamanian white-faced capuchin)
Lineage: Eukaryota; Metazoa; Chordata; Mammalia; Primates; Cebidae
Description: Metazoan signal recognition particle RNA (ENSCCAG00000011413.1)
Rfam family: Metazoan signal recognition particle RNA
About the family: The signal recognition particle (SRP) is a universally conserved ribonucleoprotein. It is involved in the co-translational targeting of proteins to membranes.
Source: RNAcentral
GCCGGGCGCAGUGGCGCGUGCCUGUAGUCCCAGCUACUCGGGAGGCUGAGGUGGGAGGAUCACUUGAGCCCAGGAGUUCUGGGUUGUAGUGCGCUAUGCUGAUCGGGUGUCUAAACUAAGUUCGGCAUCAAUAUGGUGACCUCCUGGGAGUAGGGGACCACCAGGUUGCCUAAGGAGGGGUGAACCAGCCCAGGUCAGAAACCGAGCAGGUCAAAACUCCCGUGCUGAUCAGUAGUGGGAUCGCACCUGUGAAUAGCCACUGCAUUCCAGCCUGGGCAACAUAGCGAGACCCCGUCUCU